GAUGCCUAAUUUUGCAAAAUCACUUUUCAUUCACCCAGUAAAUUUUUUUCUUCUUUUUUCCAGGCAGUCUUGCUCUGUCUCUCAGGCAGGAGGUUGCAGUGAGCCAAGAGUCUGGUGCACUCCAGUCUGGGUGACAAGAGUGAAACUCCAUCUCAAAAAAAUAUAUAUAUCAACUACCAACUAA
Molecule: long non-coding RNA, 184 nt
Organism: Cercocebus atys (sooty mangabey)
Lineage: Eukaryota; Metazoa; Chordata; Mammalia; Primates; Cercopithecidae
Exons: 3
Source: RefSeq, a predicted model, not a curated record